AUCAACGCUGGCGGCGUGCCUCAGACAUGCAAGUCGAACGAUUAAAGCUCUCUUCGGAGAGUGCAUAAAGUGGCGCACGGGUGAGUAACACGUAAGUAAUCUGCCCUCGAGUGGGGAAUAACGUCCGGAAACGGACGCUAAUACCGCAUAAUGCAGCGGCACCGCAAGGUGACAGUUGUUAAAGAAGUAAUUCGCUUGAGGAGGAGCUUGCGGCAGAUUAGCUUGUUGGUAAGGUAACGGCUUACCAAGGCUACGAUCUGUAACCGGUCUAAGAGGACGGUCGGUCACACUGACACUGAAUAACGGGUCAGACUCCUACGGGAGGCAGCAGUCGGGAAUUUUGGGCAAUGGGGGAAACCCUGACCCAGCAACGCCGCGUGAAGGAUGAAGUAUUUCGGUAUGUAAACUUCGAAAGAAUAGGAAGAAUAAAUGACGGUACUAUUUAUAAGGUCCGGCUAACUACGU
RNAcentral lists this ribosomal RNA (465 nucleotides) under uncultured bacterium. RNAcentral's name for it is "bacterial SSU rRNA". It matches the Rfam family "Bacterial small subunit ribosomal RNA", at positions 32 to 506 of the family's 1533-position model. The record is from RNAcentral.